RNAcentral lists this ribosomal RNA (253 nucleotides) under uncultured bacterium. RNAcentral's name for it is "partial 16S ribosomal RNA". It matches the Rfam family "Bacterial small subunit ribosomal RNA", at positions 524 to 776 of the family's 1533-position model. The record is from RNAcentral.
GACGAACCGAGCGAACGUUGUUCGGAAUCACUGGGCUUAAAGGGCGCGUAGGCGGGCAUCAUAGUCUGGGGUGAAAUCCGGCAGCUUAACUGUCGAAUUGCCAUGGAUACUGGGUGUCUCGAGGGAGGCAGGGGUGCGCGGAACUGAUGGUGGAGCGGUGAAAUGCGUUGAUAUCAUCAGGAACGCCGGUGGCGAAGGCGGCGCACUGGUCCUUUUCUGACGCUGAGGCGCGAAAGCCAGGGGAGCAAACGGG